GAUGAACGCUGGCGGCGUGCCUAAUACAUGCAAGUCGAGCGAACAGACGAGGAGCUUGCUCCUCUGACGUUAGCGGCGGACGGGUGAGUAACACGUGGAUAACCUACCUAUAAGACUGGGAUAACUUCGGGAAACCGGAGCUAAUACCGGAUAAUAUAUUGAACCGCAUGGUUCAAUAGUGAAAGACGGUUUUGCUGUCACUUAUAGACGGAUCCGCGCCGCAUUAGCUAGUUGGUAUGGUAACGGCUUACCAAGGCAACGAUGCGUAGCCGACCUGAGAGGGUGAUCGGCCACACUGGAACUGAGACACGGUCCAGACUCCUACGGGAGGCAGCAGUAGGGAAUCUUCCGCAAUGGGCGAAAGCCUGACGGAGCAACGCCGCGUGAGUGAUGAAGGUCUUCGGAUCGUAAAACUCUGUUAUUAGGGAAGAACAAAUGUGUAAGUAACUAUGCACGUCUUGACGGUACCUAAUCAGAAAGCCACGGCUAACUACGUG
This 497-nucleotide ribosomal RNA is filed under the name uncultured bacterium. Its description in RNAcentral is "partial 16S ribosomal RNA". It matches the Rfam family "Bacterial small subunit ribosomal RNA", at positions 28 to 507 of the family's 1533-position model. The record is from RNAcentral.